This is a long non-coding RNA of Homo sapiens (human), 468 nucleotides long. Lineage: Eukaryota; Metazoa; Chordata; Mammalia; Primates; Hominidae. The record is from Ensembl.
AGUUGAUGGCAUGGCUAGUGCUCAGUCAUCUGGUCACCACAACUCUACUGAGCCCCUCCCCUGGGUGCUGGACUGGCUCUAACACUGUGCGAACAGACAGAGGAAGGCUCAUGCUUGUGGAGCCAACGUUCUAAGUUGGGGAAGAGUCAAUGUAUGAAUUUUAAAAACAGUAAAACAAGAUCAUUUCAGAGAACGGAAGACAACAGCAAGCACGGGCCACCUGUGACCACGUGGACCCUAGGACCCAAGAGCAUGGCCCUGGAGCUGCCUGGCCCUACUGGCCUAGACUGGGCCUCGGCCACGCGCUCCUCACCUUCACAGUGGCAUUGCAGUACCGGGCACAGCCGCUCUUCAGGCUCCCAAACCUGCCACUGUAGACACAUCUGUGUGUGAAGAGUGCCUGGAGAAAGCCAAGGAGGGAAAGCAUGGCAGUCAGCAUGUUUAGGUCCUCCAGGCACUGCACACCCU